GUAAACUGCCCGAGGGAGGGGGAUGACUACUGGAAACGGUAGCUAAUACCGCAUAACGUCGCAAGACCAAAGUGGGGGACCUUCGGGCCUCACACCAUCGGAUGUGCCCAGAUGGGAUUAGCUGGUAGGCGGGGUAACGGCCCACCUAGGCGACGAUCCCUAGCUGGUCUGAGAGGAUGACCAGCCACACUGGAACUGAGACACGGUCCAGACUCCUACGGGAGGCAGCAGUGGGGAAUAUUGCACAAUGGGCGCAAGCCUGAUGCAGCCAUGCCGCGUGUAUGAAGAAGGCCUUCGGGUUGUAAAGUACUUUCAGCGGGGAGGAAGGUGCUGAGGUUAAUAACCUCAGCAAUUGACGUUACCCGCAGAAGAAGCACCGGCUAACUCCGUGCCAGCAGCCGCGGUAAUACGGAGGGUGCAAGCGUUAAUCGAAAUUACUGGGCGUAAAGCGCACGCAGGCGGGUCUGUUCAACUCAAAU
Molecule: ribosomal RNA, 479 nt
Filed under: Pantoea stewartii
Lineage: Bacteria; Pseudomonadati; Pseudomonadota; Gammaproteobacteria; Enterobacterales; Erwiniaceae
Description: bacterial SSU rRNA
Rfam family: Bacterial small subunit ribosomal RNA
Source: RNAcentral